GGGCCCGUAGCCUAGUGGUAAGGCGCACGGCUUUGCAGGCCGUGCUUACACGAGUUCGAAUCUCGUCGGGCCCUCCA
This 77-nucleotide transfer RNA is filed under the name Chloroflexota bacterium. RNAcentral describes it as "Chloroflexi bacterium tRNA-Ala". It matches the Rfam family "tRNA". From Rfam's summary of the family: Transfer RNA (tRNA) molecules are approximately 80 nucleotides in length. Their secondary structure includes four short double-helical elements and three loops (D, anti-codon, and T loops). The record is from RNAcentral. Lineage: Bacteria; Bacillati; Chloroflexota.